CAGCAGCCGCGGUAAUACCGAGGGUGCAAGCGUUAAUCGGAAUUACUGGGCGUAAAGCGCGCGUAGGUGGUUUGUUAAGUUGGAUGUGAAAUCCCCGGGCUCAACCUGGGAACUGCAUCCAAAACUGGCAAGCUAGAGUAUGGUAGAGGGUGGUGGAAUUUCCUGUGUAGCGGUGAAAUGCGUAGAUAUAGGAAGGAACACCAGUGGCGAAGGCGACCACCUGGACUGAUACUGACACUGAGGUGCGAAAGCGUGGGGAGCAAACAGGAUUAGAUACCCCUGUAGUCCCUGUCUCUUAUAA
Molecule: ribosomal RNA, 301 nt
Filed under: uncultured bacterium
Lineage: Bacteria
Description: partial 16S ribosomal RNA
Rfam family: Bacterial small subunit ribosomal RNA
Source: RNAcentral